This is a non-coding RNA of Pelobates cultripes (western spadefoot toad), 216 nucleotides long. NCBI's taxonomy places the organism in Eukaryota, Metazoa, Chordata, Amphibia, Anura, Pelobatidae. The record is from the annotation of a GenBank genome assembly.
CAUAAUCUUUACCAGGACUGCAGAAGCAGCUUGGGCGAUAAUGCUUUAAGUGUUGUCAGUGGCGCCUGUUUGUGGAAUUUGUGACAUCCUUCAAGUUGUUUUUUUUAUAGAGUUGGUCCCAAUACAGUAAAGAGAGAAUUUGGAUGGGAAGAGCUGUGUUUCUUUUGAUCUUAGGUGGGGGGGAGGAGGUCCAAAGGUGUUUUAACAGAAAGCUCC